GCCAACUUAGCUCAGCUGGUAGAGCAUUUCAUUCGUAAUGAAAGGGUCGUCGGUUCGAAUCCGAUAGUUGGCUCCA
Molecule: transfer RNA, 76 nt
Filed under: Chitinophagaceae bacterium
Lineage: Bacteria; Pseudomonadati; Bacteroidota; Chitinophagia; Chitinophagales; Chitinophagaceae
Also listed under: 1 other name
Description: tRNA-Thr
Rfam family: tRNA
About the family: Transfer RNA (tRNA) molecules are approximately 80 nucleotides in length.
Source: RNAcentral